UACGGAGGGUGCAAGCGUUACUCGGAAUCACUGGGCGUAAAGGGCGCGUAGGCGGCCUAGCAAGUCUGGUGUGAAAGCCCAGGGCUCGACCCUGGAAGGGCACUGGAAACUGUUAGGCUUGAGUUCCGGAGAGGAGGGGGGAAUUCCCGGUGUAGCAGUGAAAUGCGUAGAUAUCGGGAGGAAUACCGGUGGCGAAGGCGCCCCUCUGGACGGGAACUGACGCUGAGGCGAGAAAGCGUGGGGAGCAAACAGG
RNAcentral lists this ribosomal RNA (253 nucleotides) under uncultured bacterium. RNAcentral's name for it is "partial 16S ribosomal RNA". It matches the Rfam family "Bacterial small subunit ribosomal RNA", at positions 524 to 776 of the family's 1533-position model. The record is from RNAcentral.